UACGAAGGGGGCUAGCGUUGUUCGGAAUUACUGGGCGUAAAGCGCGCGCAGGCGGUUCUUCAAGUCAGAGGUGAAAGCCCAGAGCUCAACUCUGGAAUGGCCUUUGAGACUAGAGAACUAGGGUACGGGAGAGGUGAGUGGAAUUCCGAGUGUAGAGGUGAAAUUCGUAGAUAUUCGGAAGAACACCAGUGGCGAAGGCGGCUCACUGGCCCGUUACCGACGCUCAGGCGCGACAGCGUGGGGAGUAAACAGG
RNAcentral lists this ribosomal RNA (253 nucleotides) under uncultured bacterium. RNAcentral describes it as "partial 16S ribosomal RNA". It matches the Rfam family "Bacterial small subunit ribosomal RNA", at positions 524 to 776 of the family's 1533-position model. The record is from RNAcentral.